Molecule: ribosomal RNA, 301 nt
Filed under: uncultured bacterium
Lineage: Bacteria
Description: partial 16S ribosomal RNA
Rfam family: Bacterial small subunit ribosomal RNA
Source: RNAcentral
CAGUCGCCGCGGUAAUACGGAGGGUGCAAGCGUUAAUCGGAAUUACUGGGCGUAAAGCGCACGCAGGCGGUCUGUCAAGUCGGAUGUGAAAUCCCUGAGCUUAACUUAGGAAUUGCAUUCGAUACUGGGAAGCUAGAGUAUGGGAGAGGAUGGUAGAAUUCCAGGUGUAGCGGUGAAAUGCGUAGAGAUCUGGAGGAAUACCGAUGGCGAAGGCAGCCAUCUGGCCUAAUACUGACGCUGAGGUACGAAAGCAUGGGGAGCAAACAGGAUUAGAUACCCCAGUAGUCCCUGUCUCUUAUAC